Molecule: long non-coding RNA, 1244 nt
Filed under: Dromaius novaehollandiae (emu)
Lineage: Eukaryota; Metazoa; Chordata; Aves; Casuariiformes; Dromaiidae
Description: lncRNA (ENSDNVG00000004286.1)
Source: RNAcentral
CUGUUGUUGUACACGUUGCAAUGUUUAAUUUGCUAUCUGUAACAUAAUUUUGCUUUUUUGACAGUGUAUCUGAGGUGUGAGAAGUACAAAUCAAGCACAGACUGAAACAUUUUAAAAUACCAGUGUUUGCCAGAGCGUCCUCUCCAAAUUCUCAUAAAGACAGCUGACUUCCCUUAGCAAGAUCGCCAUAUGGGGUGCACUUCUGAGGAUGCACGUAAUUAGGUCUGCUGCUGCGGCAGAUGUUUAUGGAAAUAAAUUCCCACAGCUGACUCUGUGUGCAGAGACACUUUGUGAAAGGAAUGAAGUGGCUUGCAGUCAGCAACACCCUCCACAGAUACAACCAUUUCCUGCAUAAAAAGGAGAACAGAGCAGAGAGGAGAGGCAGGCUGGAUGAUGUGACUCCUCAUUUUAGGAGCUGCACAUCUCGAUGCUUAGAGGUUGCUGGCUAGUGGAUGUCCUCAGCUGCAGGAAGCAGAUGACAUGGGAGUUUAAAGUGGCCUCUGACAAUCCAGCAUUUUCACGCCCCUGCCAUGGUCCUGAAAGAUCUUACCAAGGACAGAGCGAUGGAGGAGGUUUGCCUGCCUUACAGUCUGAGGCAGUUGGUGUUAGGGAUCGCACAACAGCAACCAGAUGGAUGGAGGCAGUGUGCCUUCCCGUGUUUGCCAGGAAACUUUGCUCUGUCUUGGGCAAUCCAGGUGUUUGACAACUCCAGGUAAGAACCACUAAUGAAUUCAUGUAGUGAUUUGGAUUAAGAAGAUCAAGGAUGAAUUAACUAAUUUGGACCAGAUCACACAGGAAAUCUAUUGAAUAAUCGGGAAUAGGUAUCUUCAUUUUCUGGGCUUAUUCUAAGUGCAAAAAUGUAUAGGGCUAUCUGUGAGGACCUCCUCCUAUGAUGCACAACAAUGACGUUAAGACUCGGUCUCUGUUACACACACAGCAGCCAAACGAUGAGGAAAAAAAUUGCAAAAUACAGGGAGAACUAUGAUAAUAAUAAUUUACAGAUAGCUUUUUUGUUUUUUGAGGUAUCUCUUUUUUACUGUUUAGAGGAGGCAUUAACAUAUGGAUAAGUAUCAGUUAGCUGAAGUGGACAUAGUAGUAGUAAUUAUUAUUUGUAAUCCCUAGUAGACUUGUAAGGUAAGGAAAAAGACUUUCAAAGACAAAUCUUCCUCAGUUCAUUGCCACCGAUUUCUGUUCAUCUGAAGAUACAGAAUAAAUAUACUGCCAAGCCUUGCCUCUCUCCUUCU